CGGUGCCUACGGGGGGCAGCAGUGGGGAAUAUUGCACAAUGGGCGAAAGCCUGAUGCAGCGACGCCGCGUGAAGGAUGAAGUAUUUCGGUAUGUAAACUUCUAUCAGCAGGGAAGAAAAUGACGGUACCUGACUAAGAAGCCCCGGCUAACUACGUGCCAGCAGCCGCGGUAAUACGUAGGGGGCAAGCGUUAUCCGGAUUUACUGGGUGUCAAGGGAGCGUAGACGGCGAUGCAAGCCAGAUGUGAGAGCCCGGGGCUCAACCGCUGGACUCCAUUU
This 278-nucleotide ribosomal RNA is filed under the name uncultured bacterium. RNAcentral describes it as "partial 16S ribosomal RNA". It matches the Rfam family "Bacterial small subunit ribosomal RNA", at positions 333 to 628 of the family's 1533-position model. The record is from RNAcentral.